This 467-nucleotide ribosomal RNA is filed under the name uncultured bacterium. RNAcentral's name for it is "partial 16S ribosomal RNA". It matches the Rfam family "Bacterial small subunit ribosomal RNA", at positions 28 to 506 of the family's 1533-position model. The record is from RNAcentral.
GACGAACGCUGGCGGCGUGCUUAACACAUGCAAGUCGAACGGAAAGGCCAUGCUUUUGUGGGGUGCUCGAGUGGCGAACGGGUGAGUAACACGUGAGUAACCUGCCCUUGACUUUGGGAUAACUUCAGGAAACUGGGGCUAAUACCGGAUAGGAGCUCCUGCUGCAUGGUGGGGGUUGGAAAGUUUCGGCGGUUGGGGAUGGACUCGCGGCUUAUCAGCUUGUUGGUGGGGUAGUGGCUUACCAAGGCUUUGACGGGUAGCCGGCCUGAGAGGGUGACCGGCCACAUUGGGACUGAGAUACGGCCCAGACUCCUACGGGAGGCAGCAGUGGGGAAUAUUGCACAAUGGGCGGAAGCAUGAUGCAGCAACGCCGCGUGCGGGAUGACGGCCUUCGGGUUGGAAACCGCUUUCGCCUGUGACGAAGCGUGAGUGACGGUAAUGGGUAAAGAAGCACCGGCUAACUACGU